GGAGGAAAGCAGGGGAUCGCAAGACCUUGCGCUAAAGGAGCGGCUGAUGUCUGAUUAGCUAGUUGGUGAGGUAAAGGCUCACCAAGGCAACGAUCAGUAGUUGGUCUGAGAGGACGGCCAACCACACUGGGACUGAGACACGGCCCAGACUCCUACGGGAGGCAGCAGUGGGGAAUUUUGGACAAUGGGCGAAAGCCUGAUCCAGCCAUGCCGCGUGAGUGAAGAAGGCCUUCGGGUUGUAAAGCUCUUUUAGUCGGAAAGAAAAGAUCAUAAUGAACAAUUAUGAUUCAUGACGGUACCGACAGAAAAAGCACCGGCUAACUACGUGCCAGCAGCCGCGGUAAUACGUAGGGUGCGAGCGUUAAUCGGAAUUACUGGGCGUAAAGGGUGCGCAGGCGGUUUUGCAAGUCAGAUGUGAAAGCCCCGGGCUUAACCUGGGAAUUGCGUUUGAAACUACAAAGCUAG
Molecule: ribosomal RNA, 465 nt
Filed under: Nitrosomonas sp. HKU13
Lineage: Bacteria; Pseudomonadati; Pseudomonadota; Betaproteobacteria; Nitrosomonadales; Nitrosomonadaceae
Description: bacterial SSU rRNA
Rfam family: Bacterial small subunit ribosomal RNA
Source: RNAcentral